AUUGCAGAACACAUUGAACAUCGACACCUUGAACGCAAAUGGCGGCCUCGGGUCCGUCCCGAGGCCACGCCCGUCUGAGGGUCGGCU
Molecule: ribosomal RNA, 87 nt
Filed under: Lauria fasciolata
Lineage: Eukaryota; Metazoa; Mollusca; Gastropoda; Stylommatophora; Punctidae
Also listed under: 1 other name
Description: partial 5.8S ribosomal RNA
Rfam family: 5.8S ribosomal RNA
About the family: 5.8S ribosomal RNA (5.8S rRNA) is a component of the large subunit of the eukaryotic ribosome. It is transcribed by RNA polymerase I as part of the 45S precursor that also contains 18S and 28S rRNA. Functionally, it is thought that 5.8S rRNA may be involved in ribosome translocation.
Source: RNAcentral